RNAcentral lists this unclassified non-coding RNA (88 nucleotides) under Pseudomonas brassicacearum. Lineage: Bacteria; Pseudomonadati; Pseudomonadota; Gammaproteobacteria; Pseudomonadales; Pseudomonadaceae. The record is from RNAcentral.
GUGGGAGCAAAGCUUGCUCGCGAUAGCGGUGGGUCUGUGGCAUUUCUGGUGAGUGUGGCAUUGCAUCGCGAGCAAGCUUUGCUCCCAC